AGUUUGUAUGUAAUUGUGGUUGAAUUUCAAGCUGUUUCACCUUAAGAAUUGGUCACAUAUUUCUCGGGACAUUCAGAAAAUUUACAUUAAAAGACGUCGAGGGAAAAGCAGUAUAAUUCUGUGCCAAUUUUCGAAUUUCCAUACAAAGUAGGCCAAAAUCGUAUGAAUUGGGUUUGAGUGGCGUGAGAUGAGAACUGUCGGUGUCGUGUAGCGAGGUGACAAUUGUCGACUCGAGUGAAGUGACUCGUCGUGUAAAUCAAAUGGAGAGUCACUUCACUCGAGUCGAGAGUAGUCACUUCGCUAUACGACACCGACAACUCCCACCUCACGCCACUCGUAGAAUAAACCCAUAUGAGUCGAAAAAUAGUGCUGGGUUGAAAAUUGGUGCUCUUCCACUACUGAGUAUUUGAUUUUUUUUAAUAUUUUUGAAAUAUUCACAUAUUUCUAUAGGUAUAUUCACAGCACACAGAAGUUACCAGUAAGAGCACAACUCAGAACUAAAAAACAUGAUCGAUUGGUCAUCACCAAGUGAGUGACCAUCCGAUCAAAUUUUCAGUUUGAAAGUUGUCAAGUUCACUAGAUUGAUGCCCUUGAUAAUUUGAAGUUUGGCUUCAAUUCAUCUUUGCCUUAGAGGUGUUUUCAUCUUGGAACAUUCCGAAAACUUUUGAAAUAUGUUUAAUUUUUUUUCAAAAGUUUUUUUUAUUCCCCAAGAUAAGAUGAUCUCUGAAAAUUCUGUAAUAUAUCUUCAAAUCUGAAAGUGGAUCAGAAAGUCCUUAGAAGCUUAAAGAAAAAUGUAAUCGUAUUUGAAAAAUGCUUUGAAUUUUCCUAAAGUACAUUGUGGAUUCAUAGGAUGUUCAGAAAUUUUUAGAAUGUUUUUGAAAUAAUCACAAAUUUCCUAAAAUAUUUCAGACAAUUUUCGUGAUAACCUUAAAGUUCUUGAAAGUGUCUAGACCUACUCAGAACGUAUAGAGAAACUUAAUAUAAAGGAAGUUCUAUAAAUGUCAACAUAUUGCAUUAUUGAAGUAUGAAAAACAUUCCCUUAUUAUCUAGGUACACCUGUGCAAGUGUCACAAUCCUGGAAACUGUUCGACCCCAAAAUAAUCGAAAAACGUCGUUCCGAAACCCGUUUCCACCAAAAAAAUCUUUAUGCCUUCUAACAUUAAAACAUUCCUAACGCUGUAUUUCCCAUAUAUAUUUUUUGUAUAGGUUCGCCAUCAUUUCAACACUGACUGAUGAAACUGUUCUGUUUCACUAGCUUUUUUCAUAACGCAACUAAUUUGCAUUUCGGAAUAGGUAUCUUUCUUGUCCGAGACACUUCGCCGCUGUUGCUUUCUCCACACACCCACACAAAAUAACAAACACUCGAAAUAAAGAUUAAAAGAAAAUCGCGACCACAAAUUGGAAAAUAAGGAUUUUUUGAUCGGUUCGUAAAUUAUUCUUCGUUCUUAACAUGUAAGAAGCAAAACAACAGCAAGUCUAAAGUGUAAGUGAUACUGGCAAGGAAAAGAGAGAAAGUAAGGCGAAUAACAAAUUAGCAUUUGUUCUAGUUUCUUUUAGCGAUGUAAGGUGGUUUUUAUACUUAGGGAACUUUGAACUAGAAUUUGGUAUGGAUAGAGUGCGAGAGGAAACGAGCGAUUGAGAGAAGAGCGAAUGGACGGUUUAACGGUGGAGUUCUAAAUUCCCCAGCAGAUAGAACAAUAACUUGCUAGUGCGUAAUACAAUUUAUAAUCCUACGUAGAAAACAAGACGAAGAGAAAUUCGAAUGUGCAGCUAAACUUUGUUGUUGAAUGAAUAGAUAAAAAAACUCAAAAAUGUAUUUUCUUAGCUAGCAUUUACAUUUACCCUUUUUGUCACAAUAGAGAAGCCCGUUGAGAGAAUUUGUACAAUGUGAGAAAUUCGUUGAGUCGUAUGUAUAUGCAUAUAAUAUACUAAGUGGAUAUUUUUACAAAGUAACCAUUUUAUAUUGUAUAAUAGUUGAAACCAAUUCCAUUACAAAACAAGUGCCUUUAAAAUGUAAAACAAAAGAAACGUAAUAUAAAUACACUAAUUUCAUGUAACGAAACAUAACUAGAGAAGCAAAACGAAGCAUGGACCAUACUGUCAUACCAAUUAACAUAUUUGAUUAUAAACCCGUAAACUACUAGUUACGAUUAUAUUGGCGCAAGAAUCAAACCAACAUUGUGAGCUUUAGGUAAAUGCAUCAACAUUUUUUUACUUCCAAUUGAUCGGCUCAUCUAAUAUAUGUAUGAAACAUGAGAACGGA
Aedes aegypti (yellow fever mosquito) is the source of this 2263-nucleotide long non-coding RNA. RefSeq lists it as uncharacterized. The record is from RefSeq and is a predicted model, not a curated record. Lineage: Eukaryota; Metazoa; Arthropoda; Insecta; Diptera; Culicidae. The transcript has 2 exons.